This 253-nucleotide ribosomal RNA is filed under the name uncultured bacterium. RNAcentral's name for it is "partial 16S ribosomal RNA". It matches the Rfam family "Bacterial small subunit ribosomal RNA", at positions 524 to 776 of the family's 1533-position model. The record is from RNAcentral.
GACGUAGGGCGCGAGCGUUGUCCGGAUUUAUUGGGCGUAAAGAGCUCGUAGGCGGCUUGUUGCGUCAGCUGUGAAAACCCGCAGCUCAACUGUGGGCUUGCAGCUGAUACGGGCAGGCUAGAGUUCGGUAGGGGAGACUGGAAUUCCUGGUGUAGCGGUGAAAUGCGCAGAUAUCAGGAGGAACACCGGUGGCGAAGGCGGGUCUCUGGGCCGAUACUGACGCUGAGGAGCGAAAGCGUGGGGAGCGAACAGG